Molecule: small nucleolar RNA, 108 nt
Organism: Sciurus vulgaris (Eurasian red squirrel)
Lineage: Eukaryota; Metazoa; Chordata; Mammalia; Rodentia; Sciuridae
Source: Ensembl
GUUCUUUUGUGGUUGGUUCAUAAGUGUGAUGACUGGGUUUUCUCGCCAUUGUGAGAGAUGUACCUCCCUCAAACCUUGUUAGGAUGUCAGUAUAUUACUAGACUUAUC